RNAcentral lists this long non-coding RNA (236 nucleotides) under Elaeis guineensis (African oil palm). RNAcentral describes it as "long non-coding RNA (EGUI_LNC053814)". Lineage: Eukaryota; Viridiplantae; Streptophyta; Magnoliopsida; Arecales; Arecaceae. The record is from RNAcentral.
UCCUAGACUAGGUAUUUGACCUAGAUAAGGACUCUUCAUAUCUCUCUAUUUAAAAUAAAUUUCUUCAUAAAAUUUUUGUGGAACACAAAGCAUUAAGAGACCUUUAGGGAAUCCAAAAAUCAAGGAGAAAGAGUCUUGGGGCAUGGAGAUCUAAUAGACACAAAACUAGGUAUCUGGGUUAGAGCAAAGAGAAGAAGAAGAGGAUCUUCUUCUAGAGUUGCUGGGUUCAUCUCUUC